GGGCCCGCACAAGCGGUGGAGCAUGUGGUUUAAUUCGAUGAUACGCGAGGAACCUUACCAAGGCUUAAAUGUAGAGGGACAGGCGGCGAAAGUUGCCCUUCUUCGGACUCUCUACAAGGUGCUGCAUGGUUGUCGUCAGCUCGUGCCGUGAGGUGUCGGGUUAAGUCCCAUAACGAGCGCAACCCCUAUCUUUAGUUGCCAGCGGUUCGGCCGGGGACUCUAAAGAAACUGCCCGCGCAAGCGGUGAGGAAGGUGGGGAUGACGUCAAAUCAUCACGGCCCUUACGUCUUGGGCUACACACGUGCUACAAUGGUAGUGACAAUGGGCAGCCACUCCGCGAGGGGAGCGGA
Molecule: ribosomal RNA, 350 nt
Filed under: uncultured bacterium
Lineage: Bacteria
Description: bacterial SSU rRNA
Rfam family: Bacterial small subunit ribosomal RNA
Source: RNAcentral